Long non-coding RNA from Megachile rotundata (alfalfa leafcutting bee), 3252 nucleotides. The record is from RefSeq and is a predicted model, not a curated record. Lineage: Eukaryota; Metazoa; Arthropoda; Insecta; Hymenoptera; Megachilidae.
AAGAGAACGUGUUUUAAAGAUGUGAAAAUAGUUAAGGGACAUUCGCUUGUUUAAUACCGCGCUGGAAAUUCUUGGCGACCAUGUUUAUCGCGCAUGCGCAUUCAGUUUUAAUUUUGUGUCAUUUGAAUCGAACAAGACAUGAUUCGUAUCGUUAAAACUUAUUUAAGAUUUUCUCUGUUAAUAAGAAAGGUACAAGCUAAAUAUUACUAUCUUUAUGAUGAAAAUGUGAAUGUUGUAAGAUACUCUUUUAAUAUGAUAUGCAGAUGUUAUGUCAGUCAUUUAAAAUAAUGCUAAUGAUAGUGAAUUCUCGUUUUGGUACCGUAGAAUACUUUGAUAGUUUUUUUUGAUAGCGUCGAACUACAAGAAUUUUAACGUUAUUAACUCAAUAAAUUAUUUAGCUACGUUUUGCUGUUUAUAUUGACAGUGACGAUGACUUUUUGCUGUGAAGUAGAAAAUGGCUUUGGUGGCAAGCUACCAUUUAAGGUUACGUUUCCGUACAUGGUGGCGCCUCUCAUUCCUGUAUCGACAUAGGACAGGUGUUCAGAUUGGACGAUAAAAUGACUCAUUUACUCAAAUACAAAUCGCCGAUCUAUACUGAGACAUAUAACAACAAGAAUGUCCGAUAGAUAUGCAACAUAUUGGAAACAAAUUAAAUAAGUAAUGUAACUGCUGACUAGUUCAUUAACACUUUGCCGUAAGUCUAUGUAAAAAGGAUCAGGAAGAAGGAACGAUUCUAGUGUGGCAUGCAAAGCGCGUGCAUUUACUUUGCCAAGGCCUCAUAGCGGUUCACUAUUCCGAGAUUGACCUUUCGUGCUCACGAAUGCUUCCAAAACGUGCAAAAGAUCUUUUCCGUUGACAGACUACUGACUCAUGAUUGACGCAUCGAUUGUGUGCACCAAUCACUGUAACAUGUUUUCGUUACGCUUUGUUAAUAUUACUAGUAUUAAUAGUAAAAAUAAUAUUAACUUAGUGUGUCGCGAAUUUGUUUGUUUGCAACGUGUUAACAUCGGCGAUCUAGUGAAAGCGCUAACACUAAAACUAGGUGACUAAUAGUUAACGUUACUUCUUAAGAUGCACGUUGAUUUUUAUCGAUGUAAAGAAUUAAUCAUCUAAAUUUUUAAUAGUAACUUACAAUUUUAUUCCGUUACUGGAAAAAGUAGAAAACGAAAUGCAUAGAAAGCAUAACGAUGCCAUGAAACAUGCAUUGUUCAUUUUCCAUCGUUUGUUCUCAUUUUUUGUGAAAUUUGCGCGCCAACUCUUGAGUUGUACCUUAUAUGCCUCUUAAACAACGCUCACAAAAACAACGCAUGCUCGUGCGCGCAAGGUUUACAAUGUGUUCCGAUCGUUGCAUGGACAACUUCAGGAACAAAGACCGGAUACGAGUUGUGCAACUCAAUGUUUAUCCAACCAAUUAUCUAUGCUAGAACCCCGACCAAGCAUUUCACUUUUAUUCCAAUUGAUGCACGAACCACUAUCGCGGUGAGGAACUACCACCUGUUACGUGUGCCUACAUUAUUAGGUACCGCUAUCACCUAGCGCGCUGCUCUGAAUUAAACGUUAUAACUAAAUUGUGGAUGUAUACGCUACAAACACAUGUAGCUACACGUUAAGCGAUCAAUACGAAACAUUUAAAACGUGUAUACCGUGAAAAAUAAGGAAAACAAGAUGACACUUUGAACACGUUUGCAUAAACACCUGCAGGCUAAUUAUAACAACGCGAACAGAAAAGGAUAUUUUUGGAUCAUUUUCGUUUCAUCAUUUUUGACCCACUAGACGAUCAUUGAUAUAGGAUAAGCUUUUACGCGAAACUUACAGAAAGUGUCAUUCUUAAUUAUAACCGAGAUUUUCGUGAUUACUAACAUGUGUUGUUGUAGGCACACGCGACUUCUCGAGUAGCUGGCAAGUGCCUCUCGCUCUCGUUUUCACCGCUCCGAGACUUUCGCCACUUACCAACUAGAAAUAUCGUGUUUACUUUGGAUGGCUCGACAACAAGCAUUGCUAACAAAACGUCUUAAAAAUUACGACCAAACAAAAACGUGUGAACACAACAAUGAAGCAUUGCAUACGGCGAAGGAGAAGCUUUUUUAUAAACGAUUGAGGCUGGCUGUGCACGGGCAAGAAAACAGUGAUAUUGAGUCAGACCAAAGCUGGAAGAAGCGGCAUUGAGAAAGGUCUCAAAUCUAUCCGGGUAUACGAAUAAGGCAAGGACUGUGAGACUUGUUCUUUCUUUCGGAUUGAAUCAGGAAACGAUUCACAUAAUGUACGCUGUGUUCUAAAAGUAAAUGCAGAUCUAAGGUGCAACGAUCGGUUCCUUCAAUAGCGUAUAGUAACAUGCAAUACAGGAUUUGCUCGAUUUAGAGAAAAUGUAAACGAAGGACUUGAUCACUAUCCUUAAGGAAAUCCUAGAGAAAUCCUAAUGAGAGCAUAAGGAAAUUCUGGUAUGACUCAACGGAGAUCUUAGGAAGAACCUAUAGAGGAAGUAGUAUAGAGGUUCUCGCUGAGUUCUUCCUAAACUGACUCUUUCCUCUACCCCAAAGGGAGCAUGUGUUGCACCCGAGUGUACCUAAUGCUGGUCGAGCUAAUUUGUCACGGUAGUUUGAAAGUCGAGCUCGUUACAGGUCGUCGGUUGAAUCAACGAAUCAAGGCCGGCCAGAAACACGUAUCGCGUUGCCAACUUUAUUAGUCCUCUAACUGAACGAAUUUUAAGGUCGCUCAAUCAUAUGUGUCUAUUAACCUUUCGCGGUCCAUUUAUUUUACAUAUUAGACGGAAAUUACCAGUCGAUUCUAAAUAUUGCAAAAUACGGAAUAAGUGAAAUUAAAGGUGACGAAUUUAUGUCAACAUUUCUAUUCCUAUUAAAAAUAUCAAAUGUUACCGAUAUCGUAAAUAAAAAUACUUAACUAGACUUGCAAAUAAUAUCUACAAAACACAGGUAUACCGCAAAGGGUUAAUUUGCUCUGAUAAACUUUCACGAAGACUAAACAUUAAAUUUCUUAUAAUAUUAUGUACACUGCGAACAAUAUCGGUUUGCUUUCACUACUUUGCAAUUCGUUACAAAAUUAUUACCGAUUUCACGGUGAUAGGAACGUCGAGAGUUGCGUUAACAUCGAAUCUACUGGCGUAAGUAGAUUAUGCCAGCAGGGGGUCAGACGAUGCGUUACGUACCAGCCAAAGCUUAAACUCGAUACUUUCCACAUAAGAUUUACGGUUUUCUCGAUUCAUAACAUAUACUAUUAUAUUGCACAGUAUAAAAA